GUGCCAGCCGCCGCGGUAAUACAGAGGUGGCAAGCGUUGUUCGGAAUUACUGGGCGUAAAGGGCGCGUAGGCGGUCCCGUCAGUCCCUUGUGAAAUCCCCCGGCUCAACUGGGGAACUGCAAGGGAUACAGCGGGGCUUGAGUUCGGGAGAGGGAAGCGGAAUUCCGGGUGUAGCGGUGAAAUGCGUAGAUAUCCGGAGGAACACCGGUGGCGAAGGCGGCUUCCUGGACCGAUACUGACGCUGAGGCGCGAAAGCUAGGGGAGCAAACGGGAUUAGAAACCCUCGUAGUCC
Molecule: ribosomal RNA, 292 nt
Filed under: uncultured bacterium
Lineage: Bacteria
Description: partial 16S ribosomal RNA
Rfam family: Bacterial small subunit ribosomal RNA
Source: RNAcentral